RNAcentral lists this long non-coding RNA (631 nucleotides) under Camelus dromedarius (Arabian camel). RNAcentral's name for it is "lncRNA (ENSCDRG00005020147.1)". Lineage: Eukaryota; Metazoa; Chordata; Mammalia; Artiodactyla; Camelidae. The record is from RNAcentral.
CCCCCCGGCGCUGCCCCCGCGCCGCCCGGCCCGCCACGGCCCGUGGACACGAAAGCCAGAAAUGGUGAGAUGACUGGUGCCUCGCUGACGCUCACAGAGCAAAACCUUCCAUAGCCCGGGGGUGAGACUUGCAAAACUGUCCUUCACGGUCACCCCGGAAAGUAGGAGGCUUUUUCCGCAGACGCAAAAAAAAAAAAAAAAAAAAAGGCCUUCCAUCCCCCUCAGGACUGGGUUUGAAUUGCUUUUCAUCUGGAGUGGCAGUGAUUCAGCGACCCCCUUCUCAGCAGCAGGCAGUGACAGAGACAGGAGACGAAAAACACAGCGAAUGAAUCAGACGCAUUUAGAGAGACAAGAGGCAGGCUGCCCACCCAGAAGCACCAUCUCACCCAUCAGGAAUAGCCCCCAAGUUAAGGAUCCCAGAGAUUCCACGCAAGCAGCGACAUGGAAAAGAAGCUGAUGCUACAGAGGGAUAUGAAUGCAGGAAGAGAUGGAAGAUGCCCACGACUGAGAACUCCUCUCUGAAGAGACCAACAGGAACACAUUUAUCAGAGGAGCUGCCGUCUGAGCCCAGGAGGAGCCUAUCUAGAGGUCAGUGUCCACCAGCUCCUGGUAAUUUGCCUCUCAGUCUCUU